Molecule: long non-coding RNA, 2811 nt
Organism: Cyprinus carpio (common carp)
Lineage: Eukaryota; Metazoa; Chordata; Actinopteri; Cypriniformes; Cyprinidae
Source: Ensembl
UGCCCUUAUCAUUUUCUGCUCAGAUGCUGUGGAUGCAGAUGUCUAUGGAUGGAUGUUUUGGUGUCUAAUUCCCCCUUCAUUAAGCCUCACAGCAGUGUGUUUUUAAUCCAAAAAUGCUCAGAUAUUCAGUAAAGCUGCCUUAAAGCAAACACACAUAAUUACAGCUGAGAGCCCUGUAUUGGAGUGUGUGAUUGUAUAUUGCUUGUGUAGAGUGUCAAGCGUGCGUGCUGCACAUUGUGCCUGGAGAGAUUGAUGUUUUGUCAUCCACCUGCUUCUAAGCUGUAAAGGCAAGCGCAGCAAAGGCAAACCUACCCAGCUUCAAAAUCCAAACAAAGAAAUCUUAGUGGGCUGUUUACAUAUCUGUGGAAGGAUAUCUGGGCUUGUGUUGACGGGGUGCUAGAGUGGUUGAGAGAUCAGUCCCCGCACAAUGGACGAGUGGGAAAUCAAAGACUGGAAUGCUGGGGAAACUGACAGAGGGGUGAGCUCUGGAAAGGAGGACGGAUACUUCCUGUUCCUGCUGGAGUGACCCGCAGGUCUGAGGAGGAGUGAGGGAGAGGAAGGCAGAGAAAGCGAGUUUUCUUUGAAGUACCCUGUGAAACCUGCUGGUGUAAACAUACCUCUGAUUGGGACUCACUGAUGUAAUGGACAAACAAGCACAAAAUGUGUCGAUAUCCAGAUCAAAUCUCCCAGGUGAGCAAUGGCUUGGACCUGCAGAGUUAGCUGGAUGUCUCGUUCUCUUGGCUUCAGCCUGGAAAAGUGCUGAUCAUGGAAGGGGUGCUGGAGGAGCUCUCUCUUGGGCAGAUGGUAGGAAGACAGGGGGAGUAGUCACCCUGCUGCUUGGCCAACAGGGACACACACACAGACGCAUUCACAUACGGCACACCCACACAGGAAACAUUAGAACAACGAUUUGUCAUAGUCUUUCAUUUCGACGGAGGAGUUCUUUUGUUGUUGGAAAUAAGCCUUGUGAGUUUAUUAUUAUCUUCCUCUGAGUCAGUACGUUUAAGAGUUCAGCAGACACCUCUUGUGAUGGUGACGGGCCGUUCUUCUUUCUCUAACUGUCCACAAGCUAUUUAUGAAGAGUUACUCUCAAACUAGCCAUCAAAGUUUUCUUGUUUAUUUCGACAGCUUUUAUGAUGCCAGAACAAAAGAAGCAAACACACAUCUUGCAUAGCAGGGCUCAAACGAUAAGUAUUGUUUUUAGUGAUAGACUGAUAUAUCAGACAGCCUGAUUUUCAAAACGACAUUUGGCAGUUUUUUAGAUUAUCAGCAUCUGUCAGUUAAAUUUUUAGCUACUAUAUAUGCUUACUAGAUGAUGUCAUUGGGAAAAAAAAAAAAAAAAUCUUGUUUAGAGACUUUCUCUCUCUCUCUCUCUCUCUCUCUCUCUCUCUCUCUCUCUAUAUAUAUAUAUAUAUAUAUAUAUAUACAUAUUGAACAGUAAUAUGUUAUGUCAAUUAACAAAAACAACUUACUGUACACCGUAUAGCACAGUAUUACUGCACCAUAACUCUAAACUUUUGCUGGCAUUAAAUACAUAAAAACUCAUGUACAUGAUCUGCAAAUAAGAAAUUGUUGGAACUGUAAGCACUGGCAGGUGACAGUUCCAUCAACUGGCCCCAAACUCUCUCACAUUAGCCCUUAUCCUCAUCAUUGCGCUAUGCCUAGACAGAUCUGCUUAAAACAUCCUUGACAACAAAUGGCGAGGGAUGCAGAUUGUGGCUGUCUUGUCUGUUAGACUGGUGGUAUCAGGAGGGGCGUCUUCAGAUUUGAGAUCCCUGUAGCUAAGCUUACGCAUUUGACUCAGUUCCACGUAACCCAACAUGCUGUUCGACACUAUCCAUCCGCUCCCAUAUGGUUAACCUGGGCUGUGGCUUUGUCAGCUUCCAGGUUUUUUUUUCUUUCUUUCUUUUUGUCAGCCUUAAAAACAGACAAACACAGUGAGAGGUGGGCUAAUUACCACAGGCCUUCCUGUAAUUACUCUUCCAGAGCAGCAGACAGGUUGGGAACAGACAGAUCUGCUGUCUCUCUUACAUGCUUAUCUGCUGCUCACCAGACAGCUCACAAGUUCUACGUGGAUUUGAGGUUCAGCUCGUCCAAUGAGUCGAGAGUCAGGAGUUGUCAAACAUGGUUAUGGUGACGUUUCGAUCUUCACACUCUUGCGUGCCAGACAUUGGCCAUGGUUUUCAUAGCAGUAAUUCAGCAAAGAAAUAUUUCACUUAGUAAAAAAAAGUCUAAGUUAAUGUGUCUCACUCCCCUAGCAGAUUCCUCAAAAAGUGCUUUUAGAGUUGCGUUAGAGAGAAAGUAAUGUGAGAAUGUCCUGAAAAUGUGUCCUUUGUAAAGGUUAUGGAAAGUGCUUUGAACAAUAACUGUCAGCAUUGGGUUGAAGAAGUUAUUUGAGUCGUUAAGCUGCAGAUGGCAUAGCCAUUCAUCGGAUGAUAGUAAUGAAGGAUGCUUGGAGUUAUUUGUAUUUGCAUGUAAAUGUUUUGUUAAAAGUAGGUGAGUUUUGCUAGCCUGAUACAUUUAUGUAUCCCACUGGGAGCGCUGGCCCACUAAGAUGCCAUGGUUGCUCUACAUAAUUAUAAUGGGAAGGUCCCUGUAAACUCAUUAAUAUUUCUGUGAGUUUAAAAUGUAUCUUGUGUUCUCACUUCCUUCAUACUCGAGAGAGAUCAGUCUAGUUCUAGUGUUUAUUACAUGUCUUUAAAGGGGGUAGUUUCCCAAAAUGAAAAUUGUCAUCAUUCAUGAUGUUCCAAACCUAUGUGACUUUCUUCUGUAAAAAAUAAAUAAAUAAAUAAAAGUGAAUAUGAAAAACGG